This 356-nucleotide unclassified non-coding RNA is filed under the name Zea mays. RNAcentral's name for it is "misc RNA Zm00001eb125840". Lineage: Eukaryota; Viridiplantae; Streptophyta; Magnoliopsida; Poales; Poaceae. The record is from RNAcentral.
CGCAGGACGACCAUCCCCUCGUCCACUAUACGCCCGCCGCCGCCGUUGCAGCCAAACUCCGCAUCGUCGCGGCGGGACGACGUGCAACGCACGGAGGAGGCAGCUGGUUUCUUAUUGGCUACGGCGGGUGGCGGCGGGGGCGUCGGAGAUGGUCGACUGCGGCUCGGCCGGAGCGCCGGGUGGCCAGGGAGGCGGACGGCGGCGAAUUCGCAGCUCGUCAUGUUCAUGGGGUGCAUGCGCGCGUUUCGGCGCGGAGCAAUUCAAGAAGUGAGCAGGGUAUUGUAUAGGAGAAGGAAGAGAGGGAAACGAGAUCGAUCUCCGAUUGAUUGCGUGGGGAGCAAAGCAUGCAAUGCGAU